RNAcentral lists this long non-coding RNA (1824 nucleotides) under Homo sapiens (human). RNAcentral's name for it is "HSALNT0351330". The record is from RNAcentral. Lineage: Eukaryota; Metazoa; Chordata; Mammalia; Primates; Hominidae.
CAGAGAUGAAGGCCAUAUGAUGAUAGAGGCAGAGACUGGGGGUGAUACAGCUGCAAGCCAAGGAAUGCCACGGAUUGCCAGCAACUCCCAGAAGCUAGGAAGAGGCAAGGAAGGGUCCCUAGAGCCUUCAGAGUGAGCAUGGCUCUGCCAAUACCUUGAUGUCAGACUUCUAGCCUACAGGACUAUGACAGAAUAAAUUUCUGUGGUUCUAAACUGCCCGUUUGUGGUAGUUUGUUUCGGCAGCCCUAGAAAACAAAUACGCCUUGUAACACCAGGUUUGCUGAUUCUAAGGAUACCUCCUCUUCCUCAUAGAAUUUCAAGGCUGCCUGCUGUGUGGCUGUUGAUACUGCAGGCCCUCACUCUUACCAGUAAGAUCCGCCUGCUCUUGAGGAAAGCCGGUGAGAAGCAGUAGACAGGGGAAUGACACCAUCUAUCUGAGGCACAGUGGCUCACAUCUGUAAUCCCAGCACUUUGAGAGGCCAAGGCAAGAGGAUCGCUUGAGCCCAGGAGUUGAGAUCAGCGUGGGCAACAUGGGGAGACCUCAUCUCCACAAAAAAAUACAAAAAUUAGCCAGGCAUGGUGGCAUGCACUUGUAGUCCCAGCUACUCAAGAGGCUGAGGUGGAAGGAUCACCUGAGCCUGGGAGGUUGAGGCUGCAGUGAGUUGUGAUUGCACCACUGCACUCCAGCCUGGGAAACAAAGUGAGACACUGUUUUAAAAAAAUCAUUAUUUUAAAAUAAAGUAGAGAGGAUCUUGUUUUUAUUUCCUCAAUUGAAUGUGGGAGAAGUGUAGGGAAACUGUGGAAUAUAGACACUAAGGAUCGGUGCAAGCUCCCUUUAAUAUCUCAAGAAAAUAAAAAUAAUUUUCUAGUUCUGUCUGUUUGUGCAACUAUAAGGUAUUUUUAGUGCAGAGUUUAGAAAGCCCAGCAGUGUAGAGAGUAUAUAUUUCUUUAUUUCCAAUAACUCAUGGGAACAGCAUGUACUGGUAACAAAAUAGCACUUUCUCUUGACUAGCAGCUUUUUUUUCCCCUGUCUAAAGGGCUACUAAAACCAUUAUGUUUUUUUCAAUGCAGGACAUCUUGUCCUUUCCCUGAGGUUAUAGUACUUGGUGCCUUUCAUGAUUUCAGAUGGUAAACUGCUUCCUAAGUGGGACUCUGUUCUUUGUCUAAGACAUUUUAUCUUUUCUAAAGCACAGUGUUCCCACCAUGACAAGUGCUAUUUAUGUGUACAUUAUCAGAGCUACACAAACAAUAAUUCUUACUUUUCUUGAAAUAUUUAAAACAAAACACUCAGUACAAAUUAAUAAAGAUCAGGUACUUUUAAUAUUUGUAUAACUGGGAUCUGUUCUUUCAGCUAAGAUACUCAUAAAUCUAGAUGCCAUUAUUAAAAAGAAGUAACUCGAUUUUCUGGACAUUUAAAAACACAACCUCAAUGAUUUAUCACAUAAAAAGAGAAAAUAAAACCUUGAGUUAAGGAUCAUAACGAAAGAAAGAAGUUGCUAAAAUCAUGACAGAGAGCUUGCCAAAGCCAUGCCUUCUGCAACCUGGUUAUUUCCCCUUGUAUUUUCUUCAGGUGUCUCAAAAUAAAAAGUAUUCGAAACUGAAUGCACUGUGAUUUAUCCUUUCUACCUUCCCACCCAGGUCCAUCCUUUCUCCCACAUUUCCUAUCUUGGUUAAUGAUUCCAUUGCCCAACCAGAGGCCUGAUAUUGUCCCGAACACUUUCAUUCUUAUUGCCCAGGUCUGACUGGUCAUUGCAUCCUGGUAGUUCUACCUCCCAAUUACUGCUUCAGCUCCUUCCUUCUUUCCACCCCUAUGUUUGCUCCCUG